Small nucleolar RNA from Ornithorhynchus anatinus (platypus), 138 nucleotides. The record is from RefSeq and is a predicted model, not a curated record. Lineage: Eukaryota; Metazoa; Chordata; Mammalia; Monotremata; Ornithorhynchidae.
CUCCUCUCGGGGUCGUACCUGGAGAGUUUCCAGUACUCUACCAGUCUCGGCUACAGGAGAGAGAGUCUAGCAGAGGCCUACCCAUUCCAUUCUUAGCUUGGCCAGUGGCUAGCGAGUGAAAGGCAAUCAGCUACAAGU